Molecule: non-coding RNA, 239 nt
Organism: Cinara cedri
Lineage: Eukaryota; Metazoa; Arthropoda; Insecta; Hemiptera; Aphididae
Source: the annotation of a GenBank genome assembly
ACCUUACUAACCUAAUAUCGUUUACGGAUACUUACACAGAUAUUCUGGACAUUCACUAAUAUGUCGUAAUUAAUGACCGCGAUUAUCCCUAUUUUAUCGAUAAGUCACAAAUCAAACGUUGUACUUACAUGGGUUCUCACUUGUAUACAGCUUACAUAAAAUAUUAUUAUGAUGUCUAUACAGCCUGUAUAAAUUUUAAAAAAAGUAAGUUGUGUAAAUUCGUGUUUUUUUUUGGGGGG